RNAcentral lists this transfer RNA (79 nucleotides) under Cohnella suwonensis. RNAcentral's name for it is "tRNA-OTHER". The record is from RNAcentral. Lineage: Bacteria; Bacillati; Bacillota; Bacilli; Caryophanales; Paenibacillaceae.
GGCGGAUAUCGUUGAGGCGUAUGGAAGGGUUACUUCGAAUUCCCUCGGCAUGUCGUUGGUUCGAGUCCAACUCCCGCCG